UGGGGAAUUUUGCACAAUGGGGGAAACCAUGAUGCAGCGACGCCGCGUGAUUUAGAAGGCCUUCGGGUUGUAAAAAUCUUUUCUAUGGGAAGAAAAUGACAGUACCAUAGGAAUAUGGACCGGCUAAUUACGUGCCAGCAGCCGCGGUAAUACGUAAGGUCCGAGCGUUGUCCGGAAUCAUUGGGCGUAAAGGGUACGUAGGCGGGUAAGCAAGUUAGAAGUGAAAUCCUAUAGCUCAACUAUAGUAAGCUUUUAAAACUGCUCAUCUUGAGGUAUGGAAGGGAAAGUGGAAUUCCUAGUGUAGCGGUGAAAUGCGCAGAUAUUAGGAGGAAUACCGGUGGCGAAGGCGACUUUCUGGCCAUAACCUGACGCUGAGGUACGAAAGCGUGGGUAGCAAACAGG
This 402-nucleotide ribosomal RNA is filed under the name bacterium. RNAcentral's name for it is "partial 16S ribosomal RNA". It matches the Rfam family "Bacterial small subunit ribosomal RNA", at positions 355 to 776 of the family's 1533-position model. The record is from RNAcentral.